RNAcentral lists this ribosomal RNA (497 nucleotides) under uncultured bacterium. RNAcentral describes it as "partial 16S ribosomal RNA". It matches the Rfam family "Bacterial small subunit ribosomal RNA", at positions 28 to 507 of the family's 1533-position model. The record is from RNAcentral.
GAUGAACGCUGGCGGCGUGCCUAAUACAUGCAAGUCGAGCGAACAGACGAGGAGCUUGCUCCUCUGAAGUUAGCGGCGGACGGGUGAGUAACACGUGGAUAACCUACCUAUAAGACUGGGAUAACUUCGGGAAACCGGAGCUAAUACCGGAUAAUAUAUUGAACCGCAUGGUUCAAUAGUGAAAGACGGUUUUGCUGUCACUUAUAGAUGGAUCCGCGCCGCAUUAGCUAGUUGGUAAGGUAACGGCUUACCAAGGCAACGAUGCGUAACCGACCUGAGAGGGUGAUCCGCCACACUGGAACUGAGACACGGUCCAGACUCCUACGGGAGGCAGCAGUAGGGAAUCUUCCGCAAUGGGCGAAAGCCUGACGGAGCAACGCCGCGUGAGUGAUGAAGGUCUUCGGAUCGUAAAACUCUGUUAUUAGGGAAGAACAAAUGUGUAAGUAACUAUUCACGUCUUGACGGUACCUAAUCAGAAAGCCACGGCUAACUACGUG